GACGGGGGAUGCAUGAGCUAUCCGGAAUCACUGGGCGUAAAGCGCAUGUAGGCGGCCGAACUAGUCAGGUGUGAAAUCCUCGGGCUUAACCUGGGAAGUGCACUUGAUACUGUCCGGCUAGAGUUUGGCAGAGGAAAGUAGAAUUCCCGGUGUAGCGGUGAAAUGCGUAGAUAUCGGGAGGAAUACCAGUGGCGAAGGCGGCUUUCUGGGCCAAUACUGACGCUGAGGUGCGAAAGCGUGGGGAGCAAAUAGG
This 253-nucleotide ribosomal RNA is filed under the name uncultured bacterium. Its description in RNAcentral is "partial 16S ribosomal RNA". It matches the Rfam family "Bacterial small subunit ribosomal RNA", at positions 524 to 776 of the family's 1533-position model. The record is from RNAcentral.